UACGAAGGGGGCUAGCGUUGUUCGGAAUUACUGGGCGUAAAGCGCACGUAGGCGGAUUUGUAAGUCAGGGGUGAAAUCCCGGGGCUCAACCUCGGAACUGCCUUUGAUACUGCAAGUCUCGAGUCCGGAAGAGGUGAGUGGAAUUCCUAGUGUAGAGGUGAAAUUCGUAGAUAUUAGGAAGAACACCAGUGGCGAAGGCGGCUCACUGGUCCGGUACUGACGCUGAGGUGCGAAAGCGUGGGGAGCAAUCAGC
This 253-nucleotide ribosomal RNA is filed under the name uncultured bacterium. Its description in RNAcentral is "partial 16S ribosomal RNA". It matches the Rfam family "Bacterial small subunit ribosomal RNA", at positions 524 to 776 of the family's 1533-position model. The record is from RNAcentral.